This 807-nucleotide ribosomal RNA is filed under the name Triticum aestivum (bread wheat). Its description in RNAcentral is "partial small subunit ribosomal RNA". Lineage: Eukaryota; Viridiplantae; Streptophyta; Magnoliopsida; Poales; Poaceae. The record is from RNAcentral.
AUGUCGGUGGAGCAGCGGGAGCUUGCACCUCUGAAGCUUCGAUCUCACGGGGUCAACCUUGGGUGGAUGCGCUAUGAUGAGCGAUACACACCGUAUGUAAGGGAGACAGGACUUCUCCCUUUCAUUCAGUUGGUCAGCCGGUUGACGCCACCCAACAAUGCUGCAGCAAUCACCGCGCUUAUUGAUCAUUGGAGGCCGGAGACACACACUUUCCAUCUUCGGACCGGGGAGAUGACCGUGACGCUCCAGGAUAUUGCUAUGAUCACCGGUCUUCCUAUCAAUGGGAAUCCUCUAUGUAUGAACACCGAUUCUGAUGGGUGGCACGCGCAGAUGCAUGCCCUUAUCGGUAUGGUUCCUCCGGAGCCUCGGGAACCAGAAGCAGAAGACAACAAGAAGGAAAGAGUCGCAGCCGGUGCUCCUUUCACCUGGAUUACAAUGCACUUUGGUACUUGCCCCGAGGAAGCUAAUGAGGACACGGUCAAGACAUAUGCUCGUGUCUACAUGUGGUACGUGAUAUCCAAGACUAUGUUUGCUGAUGGCACAUGCAAGAAUGCUCCAUGGAUGUGGCUGAAGGCGUUGACCGUCUUCGAUAGCAAAUGGAGUUGGGGUUCGGCGACACUGGCUUACUUGUAUAGACAGUUGGACGAAGCCUGUUGUAGGCAAUCUGGAGGUAUUGGUGGUUGUAUGCUCGCACUUUCCAUAUGGAGCUGGGAGCGUUUGCCGGUUGGACGACCGAAGACCGUGAAGUACGAGGAUUGGGACGACAAAGACGACCCACUACGGCUCCCCACUUGGGCUUACAAGUGA